CCCGUUGCAGAGCACAGGCUCCGGACGCGCAGGCUCAGCAGCCAUGGCUCACAGCCCCAGCCGCUCCGCGGCAUGUGGGAUCUUCCCGGACCGGGGCACGAACCCGCGUCCCCUGCAUCGGCAGGCGGACUCUCAGCCACUGUGCCACCAGGGAAGCCCCAAUGAAAAUUUUUUUAAAAAUGAAGGAGAAAUCGUUUUUCUUAACCAAACAAAAACUAGGCAUUCAUUGACAGCAGACUUACUGUAUAAGAAAUGUUAAAGCAAGUUCUUCAAGCAGGAGGAAUAUGAUCUACACAAACUUAGAUCUACAUAAAGACCACUGGACAUGGAAAAAAAAGUUAUUACUUAUUUUUAAUUUAUUUGAGAUAAAGGUCAGCAAACUUUUUAUAUAAAGGGCUAGACAAUAUUUUAGGUUUUAAGAGCCAUACACUCUAUUGCGUCUACUCAGCUCUGCCAUUGUAGUAUGAAAUAUAUAAGUGAAUGAAUGUGGCUGUGUUCUAGUAAAACAAUUUCUAAAAACAGGCAGAGGGUUAGAGUUGGCCCAUGGGCUAUCGUUGGCUCAUCCCUGCUCUAACAGAUAACUGACUAAGACAAAAGUAGUAUUAUAUGUUUAUAGCAUUUAUAACAGAUAUGACAACAAUAGCAUAAAAGAUGGAAGAAAGGAAUUGGAAAUAUUUCUGUAAGUCCUUGUACUACACAUGAAAUGGUAUAAUAUCUGAAGGUGCCCUCAGAUUAAUUAAAAAUGUAUAUUGGACAACCACUAAAAAUUUUGAAAUAAGGGCAUAAAUAAUAAAUCUAUGGAAGCAAUGCAAUGGACUUGUAAACAAUCCUCAGCAUAAGAGAAGUUAGAGAAAGAGGAAUAAAGAAACAAAGAAUAGAUGGAACAAAUAGAAAAUAGUAAGAUGAUUUUAAUCUAGUCAUAUCAGUAAUCACGUUAAACGUGGAUAGUCUAAACCAGGGAAUGGCAAAGUACUUCCAACCACAGUUUCAUUUCUUUGUACAUGUGUGCCAUGAUAAAGGAAGUUCCUGGACCUAUUGGGCAUCUAGAAUUUAGAUACUCAUUUACUUGCAUAAGGAAGAAUUCAGAUACUGUCCUGUGAUACCCACCUGUUUAAUGGUAAUUUACUUCAAGGAGUAAUUUUCAUUUUAGGGAAUAAAAAUUGACUUGGGUAUGACUAGAGAUAAAAGGGUACAUUGUAUUCCAGACUUUAGAAACACCAAUCUGAAAUAAAGGAAAAAAAGCAUUACAGUAAAUACACAUUAAAGCUGUUCUGUCUUAUCAGUUACCUAAAUGACAUUGGAUUAGGAGUUAGUUUUUAAUGUAGGAAGUUUUCAAAAUUCAUUUGUGAACUAUAAUCUGUUAUUAGGUACACAUCCAUUUCUAGGGCUAGCUAUACUUUUCCCUUUGGAAUAUCGCUGACUAUAUAUACUACAGUAAGAAUGCUUACACAUUACUUGUUGAUAAAUACUAAUGUGUUGUAGGUUAAAAUCUGUGCUUAAGGGCUUCCCUGGUGGCGCAGUGGUUGAGUCUGCCUGCCAAUGCAGGGGACACGGGUUCGUGCCCCGGUCCGGGAAGAUCCCACAUGCCGUGGAGCGGCUGGGCCCGUGAGCCAUGGCCGCUGAGCCUGCACGUCCAGAGCCUGUGCUCCACAACGGGAGAGGCCACAACAGUGAGAGGACCGCGUACCGCAAAAAAAAAAAAAAAAAAAAAUCUGUGCUUAAUAUUUUGUUGGUAACUUUCAUGUAACUAACUUGAAGCAAUACUGCUUGCCUUUGAAAAUAAUCCAAUGUUUGGAAAGAUAUUUGUGGUUUUAAAUUCCAGCUUUGUUACUUACUAACUAGUUUUGUACAAGCAGUAACAGUUAGGCUGUUUGAGUAAAGUGGAGAUUAUUAUCAUACCUCGUUUACAUAGUGAGGUUUAAAUGAGAUAUAAUGUAUGUAAAACACUAAAUACUGAGAAAUAUUAAAUUUAAAUCUCAAAUUAAUUGUUUUCAAUAUGUAAUUAUAUAUGUGGCUUAAAAGUAAAAUGAUAUCUAAAGAUAAACACUGAAAAGUCUUCUUCACCUUGUCUCUAUCUACCAUGCCCCCUCCAACUCUAGUAUUUAAUUAAUUAAUUAAUUUAUGGCUGUGUUGGGUCUUUGUUGCUGCAUGGGGGCUUUCUUUAGUUGCAUCGAGUGGGGGCUACUCUUUGUUGCGGUGUGCAGGCUUCUCAUUGCAGUGGCUUCUCUUGUUCCCGAGCAUGGUCUCUAGGCACACGGGCUUCUGUAGUUAUGGCACACUGGCUCAGUAGCUGUGGCACGCGGCCUCUGGUGCGCAGGCUCAGUAGUUGUGGCGCACGGGCUUAGUUGCUCUGCGGCAUGUGGGAUCUUCCCAGACCAGGGCUCGAACCCGUGUCCCCUGCAUUGGCAGGCAGAUUCUUAACCACUGCGCCACCAGGGAAGUCCCUAGUAUUUAUUUUUACUAGUUUCUUGCUUAUUCUUCGAUAGUUUCUUUAUACAGUUACAAGCAAAUACAGUUAAAUAUUUUUUCUUUCCCUUUCCUAAACAAAAUGCCUGCCAUAUAAACUGUGAUGCACUUUGCUUUUGAUAUUUAAAAUGUCCUGGAGAGCUCUCCAUAUCAGUGCACAGAGAUUGUUUUCAUUUUUCUUCACAGAUACAUUGUAUUUCAUUGUGUGGCUGGGUCAUCAUUUAUUCAGGAGGUUCAGUAUUGCUGGAUACUUGGCUUAUUUCUAGUUUUUUGCUGUGAUUAUGUUAUAAUGCCACAAUGAGUAAUCUAGUACUUAUGUUAUUUCAUAAAUGUGUAAGUUUAUGAGAGAGAUUCCCAGAAAUGGAAUUGUUGAGUUAAAGGGAAAAUGCAUUGGUAAUUAUGGCAGAUACUGCCAGAUUUCCUUCAUAGGGGUUGUGCAGUUUUUGUACUGCUUCCAGCAAUGUAUGAGAAUACUUGUUUCUCUAUAACCUUGCUAGCAGAAUGUGUGUUAAACUUACAGAUUUUUUGCAGGUCGUUAGGAGAGAAUUGGUAUGUGGGUGUAGUUUUAAUUUGCUGUUCUCAUUAUAAGUGAAGUUGAACAUCUCUUCGAAUGUUUAAUAGCUGUUCGUGUUUUUCUUCAGAUUGCCUGUUUAUGUUGCUUGCCCAUUUUCCUAUUGGGUUGUCCUUCCUUCCUUCCUUCCUUCCUUCCUUCCUUCCUUCCUUCCUUCCUCCCUUCCUCCCUUCCUCCCUUCCUCCCUUCCUCCCUCCCUCCCUCCCUUCCUACCUCCCUUCUUUCCUUCUUUCUUUCUUUCUUUCUUUUCCGUAAUAACUAAGAAUUCUUUUAUGUUGGGAAUAUUAGAUCUAUGAGUUGCAGAUAUUUUUUCCCAAUUAGUCAUUUGUCUUUUUCUUUAUGGUCCGUUUUGCUAUACAAAUAUGUUUUGGUAGUUGAGCUCAGUUGUUAUCAAAGAGGCCUUCUCCAGGGAAUUCCCUGGCAGUCCAGUGGUUAGGACUCUGUGCUUCCACUACAGGGGGCAUGGGUUUGAUCCCUGGUUGGGGAACAAAGAUUCUGCAAGCCAUCUGGCUCGGCCAAAAAAAAAAAACAGGCCUUCCCCAACUCAGGGCUAUAAAGUAAUUCAUCAUAUUUUCUUUCAGUAUGUUUAUGGUUUCAUCUUUUACUUGUAAAUCUCUAAUCCAUUUAGAGUUUAUCUUUGUGUACACUGCAACACAUCGAUUCUACUAUGUGUAUAUAUUUUUUAAGUAUUCCUUUCAUAAUGUUGUCAAAUAAUAUUUAUUAAAGUCUAUUCUUUACUGACUUGACACCUUUGGCAUAUGCUAGAUUCCUGUAAGUACUUGGGUCUAUUUCAAAUCUUUCUCUGUUUCAUCAGUGUGUCAGUUUAUUCAUUUCCUAAUGUGACACUUUUUAAAAAAUCAUCAAGACUUUGUACAUAUUGUAGUAUCUGGUAGGGCUGUUCCCUUCAUUUUCAUAGUGUUCCUGGCUAGUUUUGCUUAUUUAUUUUUCUGUAUAAACUUAAUAAUCAUCUUUCUUCAUCACAGAAAAGAAAUCUUGUUGGCAUUAUUAUUAUGAUGACAUUCAAUAAACUUAAUAAUCAGCUUUCCUCAUCUCUGAAAAAGAAAUCUCGUUGGCAUUAUUAUGAUGACAUUAAAUUUAUGUUAAUUUUAAAAGAAUUUAUAAUCUUUUCGUUCAGAAACAUGGCGUGUUCUUUUACUUGUUCAUGUCUACUUUUGAAGUGUUUGGAAAGGUCCUCUUUGUGUUGGUUUUGUACAUUUAUUGUACAAUUAAUUUCUGGGUUUUUUAUCUUUUUUGUUGCUUUUGGUAUUAUAAAUGUGGUCUUCUCUUUCGUUAUGUUUUCUGUUGUUGUUUGUAUAUUAAGAAUACUUUUAAAAAUCAACCUGUUCACGUGAUUCUUUGUUAGGUACUGUAGGAAGGUCUUAAAAAUGGAUAAAAUAUAGAUUAAGGGAAAUUGGAUAUAGCACAUUAAUUCAGUGGAAUACUGUGCAGUUUAUAUUAAAGUGGACAGGUGCCUGUGACUCAUGAAAUGAGAAAGUAGGUAUUCUGGUUUUGUUUAAGUCCUAUGGAAAAAAAGUCUCAAAAAUGUAUUCAAAUGUUAACAAUGGUUUUUUGGGGAUUGCUAGAUAAUUUCUUCUUUUUGCAUAACUUUUCUGGUGGCAGUUACUAGUCCACAAAAAUCCAUGUUUUCCUUCCUUGUACAUGUCUGUUCAUCUUUACUACAUUUCCAAAUCCACCAUGAGAAUGGACAUGUGUCUGCAGUUUUAGCAGUGGAUUGUGAAAAGAAGUGAUAGGUGAUACUUGUCCUAGAUUUUAAGGCAUUGACUAUGCCUCCUAUAGUAGUUGCUUUUCUCCUUUUAUGCUGAUUUAAUUGGAAGCGCUUAGACCAUGCAGAUGAUGGUGGUGCCUUAGAGGAUGGUUGAGUCAUGUCUUGGAAGGAACCUGGAUCCAUGAAUGACUGCAAGGAGCAGAGCUGCCUCGCUAAGCUGGACCAUUUGUUUCAAGAUUGAAAUUAAAGAGAAAUAAACUUUUUGCUUGUUAA
This is a long non-coding RNA of Orcinus orca (killer whale), 5036 nucleotides long. RefSeq lists it as uncharacterized. The record is from RefSeq and is a predicted model, not a curated record. Lineage: Eukaryota; Metazoa; Chordata; Mammalia; Artiodactyla; Delphinidae. The transcript is spliced from 2 exons.